Molecule: ribosomal RNA, 169 nt
Filed under: Scomber japonicus (chub mackerel)
Lineage: Eukaryota; Metazoa; Chordata; Actinopteri; Scombriformes; Scombridae
Also listed under: 2 other names
Description: partial 12S rRNA
Source: RNAcentral
CACCGCGGUUAUACGAUAGGCCCAAGUUGACAGACCCCGGCGUAAAGCGUGGUUAGGGAAAACUCAAAACUAAAGCCGAAUAUCUUCAGGGCAGUUAUACGCUUCCGAAGACACGAAGCCCUUCCACGAAAGUGACUUUAUUACCCCCGACCCCACGAAAGCUAGGACA